Molecule: ribosomal RNA, 497 nt
Filed under: uncultured bacterium
Lineage: Bacteria
Description: partial 16S ribosomal RNA
Rfam family: Bacterial small subunit ribosomal RNA
Source: RNAcentral
GAUGAACGCUGGCGGCGUGCCUAAUACAUGCAAGUAGAACGCUGAAGGAAGGAGCUUGCUCUUUCCGGAUGAGUUGCGAACAGGUGAGUAACGCGUAGGUAACCUGCCUGGUAGCGGGGGAUAACUAUUGGAAACGAUAGCUAAUACCGCAUAACAGUAGAUAUUGCAUGAUAUCUGCUUGAAAGGGGCAAUUGCUCCACUACCAGAUGGACCUGCGUUGUAUUAGCUAGUUGGUGAGGUAACGGCUCACCAAGGCGACGAUACAUAGCCGACCUGAGAGGGUGAUCGGCCACACUGGGACUGAGACACGGCCCAGACUCCUACGGGAGGCAGCAGUAGGGAAUCUUCGGCAAUGGACGGAAGUCUGACCGAGCAACGCCGCGUGAGUGAAGAAGGGUGUCGGAUCGUAAAGCUCUGUUGUAAGAGAAGAACGAGUGUGAGAGUGGAAAGUUCACACUGUGACGGUAUCUUACCAGAAAGGGACGGCUAACUACGUG